Molecule: long non-coding RNA, 544 nt
Filed under: Linum usitatissimum (flax)
Lineage: Eukaryota; Viridiplantae; Streptophyta; Magnoliopsida; Malpighiales; Linaceae
Description: long non-coding RNA (LUSI_LNC001839)
Source: RNAcentral
CCAAAAAUAAAAAUAAAAAGAGGAUAUUAAGAAAAUAAAAAAAAAAAAACUUCACAUAAACAGAAAAACGAAAACGAAACAGCUUCCCCCCUCCCCCCUCCUCUCUCUCUCCCUUUUCUUUUUUGAUUGAUUCUCUGGGAUCAUUCCCAUUCCAGCAGCAGCACCGGCACAAGAGGAGAGGAAAAGAACAGGGCCAAAAUAAGGCAAAGAAAAGGAAAUCAAUCCCAUCAUUACUCCCCCCACAAAUCCCAAUUCGAAUUUUUUUUUUUUUAUCGUUUGUUUUUUUAAUAUUUUUGAUUGGCAUCUGUGAUUGAGGAGGGGGGAGGUAGAGCUAGAAGAAGAGAAACGCCAUCAAACAACAAGUUUUGUUGUAGAUUUGGGAGGUGUGGAUCUUGGGAGAUUUUUUUUGUUUUAAUAAUAAGCUCGUUCGCCGCCCGCCGAUGGUGGGAAGGGCAUUGCCGGGAUUGGAAGGAAACCAGGUGAGAUUUCGGUUUGGUUAUAAUAGUGCAAAGAAGGGGGUAGAGUGCGGGGUUGCAUAGCUGGA